This 438-nucleotide ribosomal RNA is filed under the name Triticum aestivum (bread wheat). RNAcentral describes it as "partial small subunit ribosomal RNA". The record is from RNAcentral. Lineage: Eukaryota; Viridiplantae; Streptophyta; Magnoliopsida; Poales; Poaceae.
AUGACUAGGGAUAACCUUAGGAAGAGACACAUCAUCAAACCCCUUGAUUGUGUUUACUGCUUGGAACAAGAGUCUUGUUCUCACCUAUUUUUUGAAUGUAUAGUUGCUAAACAUCUCUGGGCCCACAAUGAGGAAUAUUUCUCUAGUCAGAUUGGCUUAUCCUUUGAAUCUAUCGCCAGAUUCUGGAUUGCUACCAAAAAGUGCUCAGUUUUAAACACUGUUAGCUCAGCUGUCCUUUGGUGCCUCUGGAAAUAUAGAAAUGCUAUGAUUUUCAGUAACACCUCCUGGAUUUCCAUUCCGCAGGUCUUGUGGUUGAUCAGGAACAUGGAGAGGAACUGGGCGAUUCUCUCCUCCGGAUCGGACAAGGACAAGUUGAUGAGCUUCGUGGAAACCCUAACAAGAUCCCUCCAGAAACCGUUGGCGAUCACUUGUGGCUGA